This 671-nucleotide ribosomal RNA is filed under the name uncultured bacterium. Its description in RNAcentral is "bacterial SSU rRNA". It matches the Rfam family "Bacterial small subunit ribosomal RNA", at positions 1 to 651 of the family's 1533-position model. The record is from RNAcentral.
AGGGGUUUGAUCUUACGGGCUCAGAACGAACGCUGGCGGCGUGGAUUAGGCAUGCAAGUCGAACGGAGCUUUUAGCUUUUUCGAAAGCUUAGUGGCGAAAGGGUGAGUAACACGUGGGUUACCUGCCCUAGGGUUCGGGAUAACCUAUCGAAAGAUGGGCUAAUACCGGAUACGCUCUCGCGACGAAUUGUCGCGAAAGGAAAGAUGGGGAUCCGCAAGGACCUAUCACCCUUGGAUGGGCCCGUGGCCUAUCAGCUUGUUGGUGAGGUAAUGGCUCACCAAGGCUAAGACGGGUAGCUGGUCUGAGAGGAUGGUCAGCCACACUGGGACUGAGACACUGCCCAGACACCUACGGGUGGCUGCAGUCGAGAAUCUUUCGCAAUGGGGGAAACCCUGACGAAGCGACGCCGCGUGCAGGAUGAAGGCCUUCGGGUCGUAAACUGCUGUCAGCUGGGAAGAAAAAGUGGUCGACGAAUAAUCGUCCACUCUGACGGUACCAGCAGAGGAAGCCACGGCUAACUCUGUGCCAGCAGCCGCGGUAAUACAGAGGUGGCGAGCGUUGUUCGGAUUUAUUGGGCGUAAAGGGUCCGUAGGCGGUCCGGAAAGUCGGAUGUGAAAUCCUACAGCUUAACUGUGGGAACUGCUUUCGAAACCUCCGAACUCGAGUGUGA